GGGUUACGUGUAGGCUGAUGAGAGCCCUGUAUGAAUAAGGAUCGGCUAACUCCGUGCCAGCAGCCGCGGUAAUACGGAGGAUCCGAGCGUUAUCCGGAAUUAUUGGGUUUAAAGGGUGCGUAGGCGGCUAUUUAAGUCAGCGGUGAAAUUUUGCAGCUUAACUGUCACAUGGCCGUUGAAACUGUUUAGCUAGGAUUUGGUUGCAGAGUGCGGAAUGUGUGGUGUAGCGGUGAAAUGCUUAGAUAUCACACAGAACACCAAUUGCGAAGGCAGCACACUAAUGCAUUAUUGACGCUGAUGCACGAAAGUGUGGGGAUCAAACAGGAUUAAAUACCCUGGUAGUCCACACUGUAAACGAUGAUAACUCGCUGCCGGCGAUACAUUGUUGGUGGCCAAGCGAAAGCAUUAAGUUAUCCACCUGGGGAGUACGACCGCAAGGUUG
RNAcentral lists this ribosomal RNA (442 nucleotides) under uncultured Bacteroidota bacterium. RNAcentral describes it as "bacterial SSU rRNA". It matches the Rfam family "Bacterial small subunit ribosomal RNA", at positions 452 to 896 of the family's 1533-position model. The record is from RNAcentral. Lineage: Bacteria; Pseudomonadati; Bacteroidota.